GUGUUUUUCCCGUAUCCUAAAGAUAUAAGCCAUGCAAGUGUAAGCUUUGAAAUCACGUGUUUCAAGGCAGUGGACAGCUAAGGUACCGUUAAGAAUGUGCCGGACGAUGCGUUUUACACGGACAACUGCAGUAAUUCUGGAGCUGAUACGUGACGAAACUCCCGCAAUUGGGUGGGAGGGUUUAUGAAGUUUCAAUCCCGAUGGGUGCCUUGUGCAUUCGUGUGAUGAUUCAUUCGUACUGAUGAGAUCGCUAAUGCAGCAAUGCAGGCGACGCGUCCGAUCACUUUACGAGCUAUCAACUAGACGGUAGUAUAGAGCACUAUCGUGGUGGUGACGGCAACAGAGAACUGGGGUUCGGUUCUGUAGAGAGAGCUUUAGAGACGGCUCUCACAUCCAAGGAAGGCAGCAGGCGCGCAAAUUACCCAAUGAGGUUUCCUCGAGGUAGUACAGGACAUCGCGAUGACUGUGUCAUUGACACCGUCAAUCGUGCUGAGACUCAUUUAAACCCAGUACCGAACACAACAAGAGGGCAAGUCUGGUGCCAGCAGCCGCGGUAAUUCCAGCUCUUGUAGGGAACAACAAAAUUGCUGCAGUUAAAAAGCUCGUAGUCGGAUGUUUCGAGUGUACUGUGUGAUUUGCAUGAUGUGCCGGAAGGCGCGUUGUUUUGGCAAGUGACCCACUCGAUUGUUGAGGUGGACUCUCGUGUCAGUUAAUUCUGUCUUGCGGGAUGAUGGAAGCCUCUCUUGCACUGUGAAUAAAACGAAGCGCUCCAAGCAGUUUGGAAAGACUGAACGAUAAAGCAUGGGAUGCUGUCAGAAGAUCUUGGGAUGACGAGUUGUCGGUGAAUUGUGAUCCUAGAUAAUGAUUACAGGAGCAGUUGGGGCGAUUGGUAUUGCAGGGGUACCGGUGAAAUGGAGAUCCUUGCAAGACUGACGAAAGCGAAAGCAUUUCGCAAGGAUGUUUUCAAUGAUCAAGAACGAAAGUCAUGGGAUCGAAGAGGAUUAGAUACCCUCGUAGUCAUGACCGUAAACGAUCCUGACUAGGAAUCGGUGCGAUUGCAUAUGUCGUGCCGGCGCCUUAGGGAAACCAAAGUUAUUGAGGUCUGGGGGGAGUAUGGAUGCAAGUCUGAAACUUAAAGGAAUUGACGGAAGGGCACCACCAAGCGUGGAGCUUGCGGCUUAAUUUGACNCAACACGGGAAAACUUACGGGGAUAGGACAAUGGAAGGAUGGACAGGCUGAAGCCCUUUCCAGAUUCUUUGGUUGGUGGUGCAUGGCCGUUCUUGGUUCGUGAAUUGAUUUGUCUGGUUUAUUCCGUUAACGAACGAGACGACGUUUGGAUGAUGCGUU
Molecule: ribosomal RNA, 1348 nt
Filed under: metagenome
Description: bacterial SSU rRNA
Rfam family: Eukaryotic small subunit ribosomal RNA
Source: RNAcentral